GAUGAACGCUAGCGGCAGGCUUAACACAUGCAAGUCGAGGGGCAGCAUGAGGGUUAGCAAUAACCCUUGAUGGCGACCGGCGCAAGGGUGCGUAACGCGUGAGCAACUUGCCCGUUUCAGGGGGAUAACCGGUGGAAACGCCGACUAAUACCCCAUAGUAUGUUUUUGAGGCAUCUCUGAAACAUUAAAGAACUUCGGAAACGGAUAGGCUCGCGUGACAUUAGCUAGAUGGCGGGGUAACGGCCCACCAUGGCGACGAUGUCUAGGGGUUCUGAGAGGAAGGUCCCCCACACUGGAACUGAGACACGGUCCAG
RNAcentral lists this ribosomal RNA (314 nucleotides) under uncultured bacterium. Its description in RNAcentral is "bacterial SSU rRNA". It matches the Rfam family "Bacterial small subunit ribosomal RNA", at positions 28 to 334 of the family's 1533-position model. The record is from RNAcentral.